RNAcentral lists this ribosomal RNA (440 nucleotides) under uncultured bacterium. RNAcentral describes it as "partial 16S ribosomal RNA". It matches the Rfam family "Bacterial small subunit ribosomal RNA", at positions 338 to 795 of the family's 1533-position model. The record is from RNAcentral.
CCUACGGGUGGCAGCAGUGGGGAAUAUUGCACAAUGGGGGAAACCCUGAUGCAGCGACGCCGCGUGAGCGAUGAAGUAUUUCGGUAUGUAAAGCUCUAUCAGCAGGGAAGAAAAUGACGGUACCUGACUCUGAAGCCCCGGCUAACUACGUUCCAGCAGCCGCGGGAAUACGUAGGGGGCCAGCGUUAUCCGGAUUUACUGGGUGUAAAGGGAGCGUAGACGGCGAUGCAAGCCAGAUGUGAAAGCCCGGGGCGCAACCCCGGGACUGCAUUUGGAACUGUAUAGCUGGAGUGUCGGAGAGGCAGGCGGAAGUCCUGGUGUAGCGGUGAAAUGCGUAGAUAUUAGGAGGAACCCCAGUGGCGAAGGCGGCCUGCUGGACGAUGACUGACGUUGAGGCUCGAAAGCGUGGGGAGCAAACAGGAUUAGAUACCCCAGUAGUC